RNAcentral lists this ribosomal RNA (735 nucleotides) under uncultured Synechococcus sp. Its description in RNAcentral is "bacterial SSU rRNA". It matches the Rfam family "Bacterial small subunit ribosomal RNA", at positions 781 to 1515 of the family's 1533-position model. The record is from RNAcentral. Lineage: Bacteria; Bacillati; Cyanobacteriota; Cyanophyceae; Synechococcales; Synechococcaceae. RNAcentral also lists the same sequence under 1 other name.
GAUACCCCUGUAGUCCUGGCCGUAAACGAUGAACACUAGGUGUCGGGGGAAUCGACCCCCUCGGUGUCGUAGCCAACGCGUUAAGUGUUCCGCCUGGGGAGUACGCACGCAAGUGUGAAACUCAAAGGAAUUGACGGGGGCCCGCACAAGCGGUGGAGUAUGUGGUUUAAUUCGAUGCAACGCGAAGAACCUUACCAGGGUUUGACAUCCUGCGAAUCCCUUGGAAGCGAGGGAGUGCCUUCGGGAACGCAGUGACAGGUGGUGCAUGGCUGUCGUCAGCUCGUGUCGUGAGAUGUUGGGUUAAGUCCCGCAACGAGCGCAACCCACGUCUUUAGUUGCCAGCAUUUAGUUGGGCACUCUAGAGAGACUGCCGGUGAUAAACCGGAGGAAGGUGUGGAUGACGUCAAGUCAUCAUGCCCCUUACAUCCUGGGCUACACACGUACUACAAUGCUACGGACAAAGGGCAGCAAACUCGCGAGAGCUAGCCAAUCCCAUAAACCGUGGCUCAGUUCAGAUCGUAGGCUGCAACUCGCCUACGUGAAGGAGGAAUCGCUAGUAAUCGCAGGUCAGCAUACUGCGGUGAAUACGUUCCCGGGCCUUGUACACACCGCCCGUCACACCAUGGAAGUUGGCCACGCCCGAAGUCGUUACUCCAACCCUUGUGGAGGAGGAUGCCGAAGGUGGGGCUGAUGACUGGGGUGAAGUCGUAACAAGGUAGCCGUACCGGAAGGUGC